This is a long non-coding RNA of Salvelinus sp. IW2-2015, 1202 nucleotides long. RefSeq lists it as uncharacterized. The record is from RefSeq and is a predicted model, not a curated record. Lineage: Eukaryota; Metazoa; Chordata; Actinopteri; Salmoniformes; Salmonidae.
CAUUAUGUCAUCAUUGACUUGAUGGGGACGCCCGCUUUAUUCAUUCUAUUUCUAUGGCAGCGCAUGCAGUCAGGACCAGCGGAGAGUAGAAAAUCAUUAGCAGCGCGGUGGAGGGCACCAAUGUGAGUGGUGUGAUCCCUCGUGAACUUUACACCAGUUACAGUGACCUGACUGUGUUGGUCAAAGCUGCGAACCAGCAUGGCUCUGCCAUGUCUACAAUGGCUGCCUUCAACACUGGCGAUAUCAAAAAGCCACCCACCCCUGAAAUCACUCACUAUUGCCCUCAGCCUCUGGAGAUCUACUGGGUUGUGCAGUGUGAGGAUCAAGGCAGCUCUGACCAACUCUGUGAGGUCCAGUAUCGUACCCAGGACCAGCAGGGCUGGACUCAGGUGAGUGAGCUGAGCAUGGCUGGGGUUUUGUUCCUUUCCCCAAGUGUGCACUUGUUCACUUCCAUUCAUGGAUUUAAAGUAAAAUGACCGGUAUAAGAAAUAUGUUGGAAACUCCCUCCCGCCCAAACCUACACCAAUCCAAUGCGGGGAGUACUGUGCACUUCAGGACAGAAGACAGGGUAUUUUGGGAGCGGUCGAAAUGUACCCAAUGAUGUUUUUUCAAUUUCAGUUGGGGAGGGUUUAGUAUUUUUUAUUUAAUCCAGGGGAGGAUCAUGUAAUUUGUAAUCGAUUAAAUGUCAUAUUGAGAAUUAGUUGCUUAUUAUAUCUCGAUGUGUGGGCUCGAUGCUGCCCCUCAUCCCUGAUUCUCUGCUGGGCGCGCAAUAUCAAGUGCCACUAGUAUGGUCUCAAUCAAAUGAUCCAUAGCCUAUGCUAUAGGCCUAGGCUAUACGAAGAGCAUGCUUMGAGAAGCACAGGGCAAAGUUAUAUUUUUAAGAAAAUGUACUUUUUUUCCUGAGUUUAUCUGCUGCUGGGAUGGUCUAUAUUAACUAGCCUACACUGCAUUACACACACGCGCGGACUAGGCCUACUGAUGUCCUGUUCAGUUUGAGAGGGAGAGUGCAAAGAUGAGGAGGACUGGAGGUUAGCUUGCUACUGCUAUAAUUGAUUUUAAUAAAAACAAUAUGUUUCGUUUCCCAUAAUGAAGGUAUUUAUCAGAGUUAUUGACCUCCAAAUAAGCRAUAUUCAAGUAAUUUACACAGAUUAUUUGGGACCAAUUAGGUUAUGAAAAUGAGAAAAAAAUACUUUGAAUUAAAA